RNAcentral lists this ribosomal RNA (497 nucleotides) under uncultured bacterium. Its description in RNAcentral is "partial 16S ribosomal RNA". It matches the Rfam family "Bacterial small subunit ribosomal RNA", at positions 28 to 507 of the family's 1533-position model. The record is from RNAcentral.
GAUGAACGCUGGCGGCGUGCCUAAUACAUGCAAGUCGAGCGAACGGACGAGAAGCUUGCUUCUCUGAUGUUAGCGGCGGACGGGUGAGUAACACGUGGAUAACCUACCUAUAAGACUGGGAUAACUUCGGGAAACCGGAGCUAAUACCGGAUAACAUUAUGAACCGCAUGGUUCAAAAGUGAAAGACGGUCUUUCUGUCACUUAUAGAUGGAUCCGCGCUGCAUUAGCUAGUUGGUAAGGUAACGGCUUACCAAGGCAACGAUGCAUAGCCGACCUGAGAGGGUGAUCGGCCACACUGGAACUGAGACACGGUCCAGACUCCUACGGGAGGCAGCAGUAGGGAAUCUUCCGCAAUGGGCGAAAGCCUGACGGAGCAACGCCGCGUGAGUGAUGAAGGUCUUCGGAUCGUAAAACUCUGUUAUUAGGGAAGAACAUAUGUGUAAGUAACUGUGCACGUCUUGACGGUACCUAAUCAGAAAGCCACGGCUAACUACGUG